UCAUAUCAAUAAGCGGAGGAAAAGAAACCAACAGGGAUUGCCCUAGCAACGGCGAGUGAAGCGGCAACAGCUCAAAUUUGAAAUCUGGCGCAAGCCCGAGUUGUAAUUUGUAGAGGAUGCUUCAGGGCAGCGGCCGGUCUAAGUUCCUUGGAACAGGACGUCGUAGAGGGUGAGAAUCCCGUAUGCGACCGGUUGGCACCCGUCACGUAGCUCCUUCGACGAGUCGAGUUGUUUGGGAAUGCAGCUCUAAAUGGGAGGUAAAUUUCUUCUAAAGCUAAAUACCGGCCAGAGACCGAUAGCGCACAAGUAGAGUGAUCGAAAGAUGAAAAGCACUUUGGAAAGAGAGUUAAAAAGCACGUGAAAUUGUUGAAAGGGAAGCGCAUGCAACCAGACUUGUCGGCGGUGUUCCGCCGGUCUUCUGACCGGUCUAUUCGCCGCCGGCAGGCCAGCAUCAUCUGGGCGCGCCGGAUAAAGGCGUGGGGAAUGUAGCUCCUCGGAGUGUUAUAGCCCCGCGCACAAUACGGCGCCGCCCGGGUGAGGUCCGCGCUUCGGCUAGGAUGCUGGCGUAAUGGUUGUCUGCGGCCCGUCUUGAAACACGGACCAAGGAGUCUAACAUCUAUGCGAGUGUUCGGGUGUCAAACCCCUACGCGUAAUGAAAGUGAACGGAGGUGGGAAGCGCAAGCUGCACCAUCGACCGAUCCUGAUGUCUUCGGAUGGAUUUGAGUAAGAGCAUAGCUGUUGGGACCCGAAAGAUGGUGAACUAUGCCUGAAUAGGGUGAAGCCAGAGGAAACUCUGGUGGAGGCUCGCAGCGGUUCUGACGUGCAAAUCGAUCGUCAAAUUUGGGUAUAGGGGCGAAAGACUUAUCGAACCAUCUAGUAGCUGGGUUCCUGCCGAAGUUU
RNAcentral lists this ribosomal RNA (900 nucleotides) under Teratosphaeria complicata. RNAcentral's name for it is "LSU rRNA". It matches the Rfam family "Eukaryotic large subunit ribosomal RNA", at positions 38 to 969 of the family's 3401-position model. The record is from RNAcentral. Lineage: Eukaryota; Fungi; Ascomycota; Dothideomycetes; Mycosphaerellales; Teratosphaeriaceae.